UAUUAUUGUAUGGUAAGUUGAAGUAGUGAGAGGUGAGCUUGAAACUUAAGAAUUUUGGCGGUCUUUUUUAUCUUUCUAGAGGAAUUUGCUCUUUAAUCGAUAGUCCGCGUUUAAUUUUACUUGGUUGGGGUUUGUAUACCGCUGUUUAUAAUGUUUUUGUAUAGAAUGUUGGUGAAGAGGUCUCAGUAAAUCAAGUCAAGGUGCAGCUUUUAAUUGAGGUUGAAGUGAAUUACAGUUGGAUUUUUUUAUUGAAAUAUUAAAAUGAGAUAGGAUUUAGAAGUAAUUGAGAAUUAGAAUGUUGAAAUGAAGAUAGUUUGAGAAAGAUGU
Molecule: ribosomal RNA, 327 nt
Filed under: Ricinoides karschii
Lineage: Eukaryota; Metazoa; Arthropoda; Arachnida; Ricinulei; Ricinoididae
Description: partial small subunit ribosomal RNA
Source: RNAcentral